Molecule: long non-coding RNA, 471 nt
Organism: Aedes aegypti (yellow fever mosquito)
Lineage: Eukaryota; Metazoa; Arthropoda; Insecta; Diptera; Culicidae
Exons: 2
Source: RefSeq, a predicted model, not a curated record
AAAAGUUUAUCCGUAAUUUGAAUGUAUGAACUAAUUUCUUCGAGGGUUUGUUUAAGUAAACAUUUGAAAUUUUUGAAGCGUGGUGUUCGCACAAGCCUGUCGAUCGUAAAAAUCUUGGUUCGAUUGCAGGUUGCCAUGGAAGCUAUUUUGUUUUCAAAUUUUAGUUUCUUUGGACAAAUUUAAGAAAUUCAAUUCAAUUUCUUUUGGUGAUCUAUUUAGCUGAGUAAAUCUUUGUUGGAAGUUCUAUUGAACAACCUAAAGCAGUUCUGGUGAUAUGUUUAGGGAGAAUAUCUUGUGUAUUUCCGAAGAAGUUUUGUGGUGCAUUCCUGAAGAUGCUAUUAGAAUGAUUAGUGCUUGAGAUUUACAAGAAAUCCUUAGAAAAAGUUUGAAUAAAUUUUCGUACAACUCUAGAAUGAUCCCAGAAAGAAUAUUUGCAAAAAUAAAUCUUUAUAAUCAAAUGCUUGGAAUAAA